UUAGAUUGGCUAUAGAUGAAUUGGAGCUGGUAGUGGGCUGUACUAUUAGACUUGCUCUAAGAGCAGCAAGUUUAAUAGUAUAGCCAACUAUUAGCUUCAAAUCAUCUAUAGCUA
RNAcentral lists this microRNA precursor (114 nucleotides) under Oryza longistaminata (longstamen rice). RNAcentral describes it as "pre miRNA mir-75". Lineage: Eukaryota; Viridiplantae; Streptophyta; Magnoliopsida; Poales; Poaceae. The record is from RNAcentral.